UUUAAAUUGAGAGUUUGAUCCUGGCUCAGGAUGAACGCUGGUGGCGUGCCUAAUACAUGCAAGUCGUACGCUAGCCGCUGAAUUGAUCCUUCGGGUGAAGUGAGGCAAUGACUAGAGUGGCGAACUGGUGAGUAACACGUAAGAAACCUGCCCUUUAGUGGGGGAUAACAUUUGGAAACAGAUGCUAAUACCGCGUAACAACAAAUCACACAUG
RNAcentral lists this ribosomal RNA (214 nucleotides) under Oenococcus oeni. Its description in RNAcentral is "partial 16S ribosomal RNA". It matches the Rfam family "Bacterial small subunit ribosomal RNA", at positions 1 to 192 of the family's 1533-position model. The record is from RNAcentral. Lineage: Bacteria; Bacillati; Bacillota; Bacilli; Lactobacillales; Lactobacillaceae.